Molecule: ribosomal RNA, 1434 nt
Filed under: Staphylococcus aureus
Lineage: Bacteria; Bacillati; Bacillota; Bacilli; Caryophanales; Staphylococcaceae
Description: partial 23S ribosomal RNA
Rfam family: Bacterial large subunit ribosomal RNA
Source: RNAcentral
GGCGCACGGUGGAUGCCUUGGCACUAGAAGCCGAUGAAGGACGUUACUAACGACGAUAUGCUUUGGGGAGCUGUAAGUAAGCUUUGAUCCAGAGAUUUCCGAAUGGGGAAACCCAGCAUGAGUUAUGUCAUGUUAUCGAUAUGUGAAUACAUAGCAUAUCAGAAGGCACACCCGGAGAACUGAAACAUCUUAGUACCCGGAGGAAGAGAAAGAAAAUUCGAUUCCCUUAGUAGCGGCGAGCGAAACGGGAAGAGCCCAAACCAACAAGCUUGCUUGUUGGGGUUGUAGGACACUCUAUACGGAGUUACAAAGGACGACAUUAGACGAAUCAUCUGGAAAGAUGAAUCAAAGAAGGUAAUAAUCCUGUAGUCGAAAAUGUUGUCUCUCUUGAGUGGAUCCUGAGUACGACGGAGCACGUGAAAUUCCGUCGGAAUCUGGGAGGACCAUCUCCUAAGGCUAAAUACUCUCUAGUGACCGAUAGUGAACCAGUACCGUGAGGGAAAGGUGAAAAGCACCCCGGAAGGGGAGUGAAAUAGAACCUGAAACCGUGUGCUUACAAGUAGUCAGAGCCCGUUAAUGGGUGAUGGCGUGCCUUUUGUAGAAUGAACCGGCGAGUUACGAUUUGAUGCAAGGUUAAGCAGUAAAUGUGGAGCCGUAGCGAAAGCGAGUCUGAAUAGGGCGUUUAGUAUUUGGUCGUAGACCCGAAACCAGGUGAUCUACCCUUGGUCAGGUUGAAGUUCAGGUAACACUGAAUGGAGGACCGAACCGACUUACGUUGAAAAGUGAGCGGAUGAACUGAGGGUAGCGGAGAAAUUCCAAUCGAACCUGGAGAUAGCUGGUUCUCUCCGAAAUAGCUUUAGGGCUAGCCUCAAGUGAUGAUUAUUGGAGGUAGAGCACUGUUUGGACGAGGGGCCCCUCUCGGGUUACCGAAUUCAGACAAACUCCGAAUGCCAAUUAAUUUAACUUGGGAGUCAGAACAUGGGUGAUAAGGUCCGUGUUCGAAAGGGAAACAGCCCAGACCACCAGCUAAGGUCCCAAAAUAUAUGUUAAGUGGAAAAGGAUGUGGCGUUGCCCAGACAACUAGGAUGUUGGCUUAGAAGCAGCCAUCAUUUAAAGAGUGCGUAAUAGCUCACUAGUCGAGUGACACUGCGCCGAAAAUGUACCGGGGCUAAACAUAUUACCGAAGCUGUGGAUUGUCCUUUGGACAAUGGUAGGAGAGCGUUCUAAGGGCGUUGAAGCAUGAUCGUAAGGACAUGUGGAGCGCUUAGAAGUGAGAAUGCCGGUGUGAGUAGCGAAAGACGGGUGAGAAUCCCGUCCACCGAUUGACUAAGGUUUCCAGAGGAAGGCUCGUCCGCUCUGGGUUAGUCGGGUCCUAAGCUGAGGCCGACAGGCGUAGGCGAUGGAUAACAGGUUGAUAUUCCUGUACCACCUAUA